This 405-nucleotide unclassified non-coding RNA is filed under the name uncultured fungus. RNAcentral describes it as "partial contains ITS1, 5.8S rRNA and ITS2". Lineage: Eukaryota; Fungi. The record is from RNAcentral.
AACGCACAUGGCGCCUCACGGCAUGCUUGUUUCAGUGUUUUACCCUCUCACGACCCUCCCGGGCCAUUGUGGUGUAUGAGCCUCAUGGAGCGCAAGCUCUGCGUGGCUUGAAGUGUGUUGUGGAGACCCGGUGUCUGGCUACCUUUUCUGCAUGCUCAGGGAGCAAGGGUACAACAGCGCGGUGUGGUAGGAUCCCGCAAGGGACUUCACAAACCCCCGUGACCUGUACAACCCCCACUCUACACCAAACUGAGCGUGCGCACACAGGAAGAGGCGGCUGACCCGCUAUGGGACCCUCCAGGGCGGACUCUCAGCAGUCUGCUCGAAGAGUGCAGGACGCUUGUGCCUGCACAUCCCCCCUUCAACAUAAACCUGAAACCAAGUAAGAGUACCCGCUGAAUUUAA